This is a long non-coding RNA of Rattus rattus (black rat), 2527 nucleotides long. RefSeq lists it as uncharacterized. The transcript is spliced from 3 exons. The record is from RefSeq and is a predicted model, not a curated record. NCBI's taxonomy places the organism in Eukaryota, Metazoa, Chordata, Mammalia, Rodentia, Muridae.
AUACUGCAAAUUCUUCAGAUUAUAUGUGAUCUAUGUGCCUGGAAGACACAGACCAGGAAACAGUCUUUGAAACAUGUCAUUAACUAGAAAAGAGGAUGACUUGUCUUCUGAAAACAUUUUCAUUCCAAGAGAAGGUAACAGAAGCCUGGACUUCUUAAGAGGAUACGGGAAGAUAAUUCUAAGGCAACUGUAGCAGGGUAAGAUCGUGAAAUACAAGUUUCACCCAGAUUUCAACCCAUUAGGUAGCUUCAGAAAGAGGAUUCAGAUCUAGCGAAGUUGGUGGCUGAGCAAUGAAAUAUGGCUCAGCUAACAUGGUUUCUAAAUUUAAUGAUUUUAAAAAUCAACUGAAAGUAAGUGGAGUUAGUAAGUUUGUUUAGAUCUUUCAUUGGAAACACAAUGACAGAUACCUUUUUCUUUUGACUACAAUGAGUAUACCCAAAGCCGGAAAAUACAGCCGAUAAUAUAUCAGAGUGGACUCCAGUUUUUGAGCAAUUUUUGAGACCCCAUCCAAAGGACACAUGGAACAACAGCACAAGAAUAGGUUUUGCACAGUCGUGGUACAAUUGAGUUGGUGUUGCAAAUAGAUUUCGUUUUGUUAAAUACUGGUUGGUCACAGCUACCAUAACAGAAUACAGAUUAGUAUACUUAAACGACAGAUAUUAAUUUGCUCCUGGUGCUGAGGUUAGAAAUUCAGGAUCAAGAGGCUGCGAGGUUUUGUUCUCUCCAAGGCGUGUCUUCCUGCCUUGCAGAUGGUCACUUACCUGUUAUGUCACCCUGUGAAACACCCUUUGGACUGUGCAGUCCUGAUUCCAUUUUCAUGGGUGUUCAAAAGUUAGACAAGAUUAAGACUUACCCACAUGACUUCAUUUAAGCUGAAUAGCUAGUUGAAAGAUCCUGUUCUUAAUUGUGAUCUCAUUCUGUGUGAUUGGAGUCUAGUAUUUUCAAAUGUUAAUUUUAGGAGACUAAUAGAAAGAGCGCAUGAUAUCUGAAUUGAGUUGCUUUUAUCUUCCUCUUAACAGUAUAAUCUCCUGUCCACAUUUUGAUAGUUGAGUAACCCCAAAGGCUCUACAGUUUGUGGAGGGACUGCAUCUCAUUUUCUUACGUUAACUUGAUGCCAGUAAAACUAGUGAUGGGAUGCUGUGUCCCGAACAAACAGCACAAAAGUCUUGAUAAUAUAAAAUAGGAUUUGAAGAGCUUUUUCUCAAUUUUAAAUGUCACCACGGAGCAAGUAAUAGAAAUAUUGAACAUAUGACUUUGAAAAGAUUCAUAAUAUUUACUUAAUUGCAUUUUCCUUUUAAGGAGAAAAAUUGGUAUCCAGGUUGUUCUUGGGAACGAAGAAUUAUACAAAUGAUAUUUUAAUCCUAGCACAGCUACUGAUUUGCUAUGUUAUAAACACAUCAUAAUAUAUUUACAAAUCUGCCAGCUAAGUAUAGAAAUUGCAAGAGGAAAAGCACUGGGUUUACGUUAUAAUAGGCUAAAAGAGCAAACAUUACACAUUUAUUUAGAAAUAGCAUGUUUAUUGUUAACUUCCACUAUUAAACUAACCCUCUCAAAUAAAACAUCUUAUUGGUGUGUGUGUGUGUGUGUGUGUGUGUGUGUGUGUGUGUGUAAAUGACCAAAGAUGGAUACAAAAGGAGAGCUGAAGCAUGGGCACAGAACCACAGCAACUAAAAUUAAUAUUAGACAUUAAGAUGGUAAAUAUUUAGACCAUAAAUCUUGGAAUAUCAAGGUUAUCUGAAGGUCAGCUCCGACAUUUGUGCAAAAGGAGUAUGAAAGAGAUCAGUGUUGUUAAUCUUCAUUCCUUACCAAAAAAAAAAUCUCUUUGCAAGAAAGUCAAGUAAUUUGUGAGGAUCUGUUUUUUUUUCUUUUCAUUUUUUUUCUCAACCAGUGUUGAGCAAAAUUAAAGACACUUAAAUCCAGAAAAUACGCAGAGUAGCAGCCAAAUUUUAACCCUAUUGCACAACGUGUCAGAGGAACAACAGAAAUAAUUGCUGUCAGUUUGUACUUUUUUGACCAAUAAUUCUCUGCAUUUCCUGCUAGUAACUUGAGUGAUGCAAAUGACCUUAUUUUUACAGCAUGCUUUUAUUAAAUAGUUUAUUAUUUUGGCAGACUAAUAAAGAUUUUGGUAUUUGCUUUUAUUUGCAAUAAUAUUACCACCACAUAAAAAAGGAUUUUAUGUUCUUUUUGAGGAACAAGGAGGAUAAAAGUGGUGAUGGAUAGCACAACUGAGGCAUCAGCAAUGAGCUGGAAAUGAGACACAUAAAUAUGAAAGCAGAGCUAAGAAAAUAGAACUGCACCCUUGGCCUUUCUUAAAAGAACACGCACACUUCAUGGUUCAUUCACACCGUUACAGAAACUCCUUUUGUUUCCACUUAAUUGUUAUCAUAAAUGGAAACAGACUGUACCCAAUAAACUAAAGGGAAAGGCUUGUGACCCUUAACCUUGAGAACUGCUGCACAGGCUGGAGAGAUGGCUCAGCAGUUAAGAAAACUGGCUGAUCUUCCAGCGGUCCUGAGUUCAACUCUCA